GACGAACGCUGGCGGCGUGCCUAAUACAUGCAAGUAGAACGCUGAAGGAGGAGCUUGCUUCUCUGGAUGAGUUGCGAACGGGUGAGUAACGCGUAGGUAACCUGCCUGGUAGCGGGGGAUAACUAUUGGAAACGAUAGCUAAUACCGCAUAAUAGUAGAUGUUGCAUGACAUUUGCUUAAAAGGUGCAAUUGCAUCACUACCAGAUGGACCUGCGUUGUAUUAGCUAGUUGGUGAGGUAACGGCUCACCAAGGCAACGAUACAUAGCCGACCUGAGAGGGUGAUCGGCCACACUGGGACUGAGACACGGCCCAGACUCCUACGGGAGGCAGCAGUAGGGAAUCUUCGGCAAUGGACGGAAGUCUGACCGAGCAACGCCGCGUGUGUGAAGAAGGUUUUCGGAUCGUAAAGCUCUGUUGUAAGAGAAGAACGAGUGUGAGAGUGGAAAGUUCACACUGUGACGGUAUCUUACCAGAAAGGGACGGCUAACUACGUG
RNAcentral lists this ribosomal RNA (495 nucleotides) under uncultured bacterium. RNAcentral describes it as "partial 16S ribosomal RNA". It matches the Rfam family "Bacterial small subunit ribosomal RNA", at positions 28 to 507 of the family's 1533-position model. The record is from RNAcentral.